RNAcentral lists this long non-coding RNA (1002 nucleotides) under Homo sapiens (human). RNAcentral describes it as "HSALNT0355638". The record is from RNAcentral. Lineage: Eukaryota; Metazoa; Chordata; Mammalia; Primates; Hominidae.
GAGAACAAAGGAAGGAGGAAGUAACUGGUGGAAUGCUGAGAAAGCAUUUCAGUGUGCGGCAUCAUCAUGCAAGCUCUGUAAGAGGAGAGUAAGAUCAGUACUCCUACUUGUAAAUGAAAGAGAAGAAAACAAAAACAAGCAAAUUCCUUCUAAGGUGUGAGGAACACGAGUAAACAGAGAAAUCACCUAAGGAGAAAACAGGAAGCAGAUUUGAAACUGUGGCCACCAACGACACGAGGGAGCGCAAAACCCAGCCCACUUGCCAGGGAGGCUGGCAGAGCCCACACCCAGUCUGGUGCCCUGGUCGGUUACAUUCUGCUGAAAAAAUGUGAACGCAAAUUACGUUGUUCUUUCGGGAUGUACACUUCUCCCGCCUACGACCGAAUAGUGAAUAAGGUUCACAGGGAUUAUGUGAAUCCUGGGCAGGUCCUGAGCUACUCAGCAUUGAACAGCAUUCGAGGCCACUGCAGUGGAGCCACUCUCAUCAGUAACAGGUGUAUUCUCCCCUGGUUUUCAUCCUAAUACCAAGCAAGUGGGAUCUUGUAAGCAUGUGGUUUUUCUGCCCUUUCCUGGCAGUUGUCAGAUUUGUACUUACGUAGCAGCCAGGAGUACAUUAUUGUUUCCAAGGAAAGGAAAUGGCACAUCUCUUUGACAUUGCAAGAUCUGACCCACUGCUUUAAUUAGCAUUUUUACAGAAAAUAAUCUGAAAUGACAGGCAGUCUUUCCUACUUCCUUUCUGCAUUUCAGUUUUGAAGCAGCGUUCAAAAUCAGUUGUGGAUCAAGUCAAGAUGAACUCUGAAACAAUACUUUAAAUACCCCUGGAUGAUUUUGAAGCUCCCUGCAGCAUUUUUAGAAGGUACCAAAUAAGAAAAACGUGGAUGAAGAUGGAGAAAGCAUACAAAACUUUUACACACUGGUUUGAAGCUGUCACCGCGCGGAACAUAAAGAACAGGCCAAGACCAGUGCAGGCAUCGACGACUUUCUCCAUUCAGAGCCUCCGCG